AACGAACGCUGGCGGCAGGCCUAACACAUGCAAGUCGAGCGAGCAUUUCGGUGCUAGCGGCGGACGGGUUAGUAACGCGUGGGAACGUGCCCUUUGCUACGGAAUAGUCCUGGGAAACUGGGGGUAAUACCGUAUGUGCCCUUCGGGGGAAAGAUUUAUCGGCAAAGGAUCGGCCCGCGUUGGAUUAGGUAGUUGGUGGGGUAAUGGCCUACCAAGCCGACGAUCCAUAGCUGGUUUGAGAGGAUGAUCAGCAACACUGGGACUGAGACACGGCCCAGACUCCUACGGGAGGCAGCAGUGGGGAAUCUUAGACAAUGGGCGCAAGCCUGAUCUAGCCAUGCCGCGUGGACGAUGAAGGCCUUAGGGUUGUAAAGUCCUUUCAGCUGGGAAGAUAAUGACGGUACCAGCAGAAGAAGCCCCGGCUAACUCCGUG
This 433-nucleotide ribosomal RNA is filed under the name uncultured bacterium. Its description in RNAcentral is "bacterial SSU rRNA". It matches the Rfam family "Bacterial small subunit ribosomal RNA", at positions 29 to 507 of the family's 1533-position model. RNAcentral also lists the same sequence under 1 other name. The record is from RNAcentral.